AUGUUAGGUAAAGCCCUAGACAAUGAACAGGAAUGUACUCAAGGGAUGACAAUAUGUGUAAAAGAACUCUUACUAGACAGGGGCAAAGAAAAUGAACAGAGCAAGACCUUAUCUCUAAAGAAAAAAAAAAAAAACAUAGCUCACAGAUCUCAGAACAUACUUUACUUAUGUUUACUUGUUUCUUAUAAAGGAUAUUAUAAAGCAUACAACAAGGCUGGCGAUAAACCUUGUAUGCAGACUUACGAAAUUGAUCUGAAUAAAUGUGGCCCUAUGGUUUUGGAUGCUUUAAUCAAGAUUAAGAAUGAAAUUGAUUCUACCUUGACCUUCCGAAGAUCAUGCAGAGAAGGUAUCUGCAGCUCUUGUGCCACAAACAUCAACGGAGGCAACACUCUAACUUGUACCUGAAGGAUUGACACCACCCUCAAUAAAGUCUCAAAAAUCUACCCUCUUCCACAUAUGUAUGUGAUAAAGGAUCUGUUCCUGAUUUGAACAACUUCUAUGCACAGUACAAAUUCACUGAACCUUAUUUGAAGAAGAAGGAUGAAUCCCAGGAAGGCAAGCAGCAGUAUCUGCAGUCCACAGAAGAUCAUGAGAAACUGGAUGGGCUCUACGACUGCAUUCUCUGUGCCUGCUGUAGCACCAGCUGCCCCAGCUACUGGUGGAACGGAGACAGAUAUUUGGGGCCUGUGGUUCUUAUGCAGGCCUACUGCUGGAUGAUUGACUCCAGAGACGACUUCACAGAGGAGCACCUGGCCAAGCUGCAGGACCCGUUCUCUCUGUACCACUGCCACACCAUCAUGAACUGCACAAGGACCUGUCCCAAGGGUCUGAAUCCAGGGAAGGCUAUUGCUGAAAUCAAGAAAAUGUUGGUAACCUAUAAGGAAAAGAAAGUUGCAGCUUAACUGUUUCUAUGCCAAAAUAUAACUUGGAUCCAGCUCAGAGCUGAACUUAAUUUAUAUCUAAUUUGAGUUCUUUAAAGGUCUUGAAUUUCCUUGAAUACAGCAUGUAUAAUAAAAAUUUUAAGAAAUAAAUAAAUGUUAUUCUACUUUA
Microcebus murinus (gray mouse lemur) is the source of this 1050-nucleotide non-coding RNA. The record is from RefSeq and is a predicted model, not a curated record. NCBI's taxonomy places the organism in Eukaryota, Metazoa, Chordata, Mammalia, Primates, Cheirogaleidae.